UUUAUUAUUCUUAAUCACCUUAAUCUCAAACUUUCCAUAUUUCUUUAACACUCUUCUCCAAGUAAUUUGCUUAACUCUUUUUACCAUGAUUCUUCCUACAUUUUCUUACCAUAAUUCAUGCAUGAGCUAGCCUAUAAAUACCCAUGGAUUCAUGGCUAACACUCACACCAAAAUUCUCUAAUUCUCACUUAAUCUCUCUCUUUAAUUUUCUCAUCUUCUCUUUUUCUUUUCUUUUCUUUUCUUCUUGCGCCACCACCACCAAUCACCACGACCACCACCUCCACGCCGGCUGCCACCCUCCCUGACGCCAGCCGCCACCUCCAUCCACCUGCCGGAAGGCUGCCCCACCUUGCCGCCACUUUCUUCUCUUUCUUUUUCUUGGGUGUGUUUGAUCCAAGUGCUUGAAGUUUCUUUGUGUUUGCUAAGCAAGUAUCAAAGUGUUGACUAAUUUCAGGUGGAGUCAAGAAUUGAGCAUAUGGGAGUCCUGGGAAUAUUCUUGACCUAGAUUAGGAAUGUUGGUCUUUGUCUAAUUAUGAGUACUCAUGACAAUGGUCGCUCGCCUGUUUCUUGGAUGACUAAGAAACAACCUACCAAAUCUCAUUCUUCGGCUGAAGUCGAAUACCGUUCUAUGGCAGUUGCUACUUGUGAGUUGAAAUGGUUGAAGGCGUUGUUAUUUUCUCUUGGAGUUGGUCAUUCGAAAUCUAUGCAGUUGUUUUGUGAUAGUCAGUCGGCCUUGCAUAUUGCUAAGACUCCGAUGUUUCAUGAUCGUACGAAACAUAUUGAGGUAGAUUAUCAUUUUGUUCGUAUGAGUUGUUGAAGGGUAAUAUUUCUACCUCAUAUGUUCCGAUGAAUAAUCAGUUGGCAGAUUUUCUUACGAAGACUCUUGGACAACAACAGUUUGGGUUUUUGUUUCGUAAGUUGGGCAUUCGUGAUUUGCAUGCUCCAAUUUGAAGGGUAGUAUUAGAAGUCGGUUAGGUUUAUAUAUGUUAAUAUUGUAUAUUUGUCAAGUUUAUCUUGUUAGGAGCUUUGGCAAGUUAGGUCUCUUGUAUUGUGUAUAUAUAUCUGUCGUAAUUAUCAAUGCAAGACUAAUCCGUUUUCUCCAAUAUCUCUCGAGUUUAACAGAAUAUUACUCUUUUUGAAGGGUAAUAUUUUGAUCGUACGAAACAUAUUGAGGUAGAUUAUCAUUUUGUUCGUAUGAGUUGUUGAAGGGUAAUAUUUCUACCUCAUAUGUUCCGAUGAAUAAUCAGUUGGCAGAUUUUCUUACGAAGACUCUUGGACAACAACAGUUUGGGUUUUUGUUUCGCAAGUUGGGCAUUCGUGAUUUGCAUGCUCCAAUUUGAAGGGUAGUAUUAGAAGUCGGUUAGGUUUAUAUAUGUUAAUAUUGUAUAUUUGUCAAGUUUAUCUUGUUAGGAGUUUUGGCAAGUUAGGUCUCUUGUAUUGUGUAUAUAUAUCUAUCGUAAUUAUCAAUGCAAGACUAAUCCG
Long non-coding RNA from Chenopodium quinoa (quinoa), 1482 nucleotides. RefSeq lists it as uncharacterized. Lineage: Eukaryota; Viridiplantae; Streptophyta; Magnoliopsida; Caryophyllales; Amaranthaceae. The record is from RefSeq and is a predicted model, not a curated record. The transcript has 4 exons.